GUCUCCGUAGCUCAGUCUGGAUUAGAGCACUUCCCUCCUAAGGAAGGGGUCGUAGGUUCAAGUCCUACCGGAGACG
RNAcentral lists this transfer RNA (76 nucleotides) under Nanobdellota archaeon. Its description in RNAcentral is "tRNA-Arg". It matches the Rfam family "tRNA". From Rfam's summary of the family: Transfer RNA (tRNA) molecules are approximately 80 nucleotides in length. Their secondary structure includes four short double-helical elements and three loops (D, anti-codon, and T loops). Lineage: Archaea; Nanobdellati; Nanobdellota. The record is from RNAcentral.